AGCGAACGCUAGCGGCGGGCCUAACACAUGCAAGUCGAGCGGGGAGCAAUCCCAGCGGCGAACGGGUGAGUAACACGUGGGUAAUGUGCCUUCUGGUGGGGAAUAACCUUGGGAAACCAGGGCUAAUACCGCAUAUCGUGCUUCGGCAUGAAAGCCUUCGGGCGCCAGUAGAGCAGCCUGCGUCCCAUUAUUUAGUCCUAGUUGGUAGGGUAAUGGCCUACCAAGGGUACGAUGGGUAGCUGGUCUGAGAGGGUGAUCAGCCACACUGGAACUGAGACACGGUCCAGACUCCUACGGGAGGCAGCAGUGGGGAAUAUUGCGCAAUGGGGGAAACCCUGACGCAGCCACGCCGCGUGAGUGAUGAAGGCCUGGUUGUAAGCUCUGUCGGAGGGACGGAAGGGAGGCAAUCUCUGACGGUACCUCGCAAGAAAGCACCGGCUAACUCUGUGCCAGCAGCCGCGGU
This 463-nucleotide ribosomal RNA is filed under the name uncultured bacterium. Its description in RNAcentral is "bacterial SSU rRNA". It matches the Rfam family "Bacterial small subunit ribosomal RNA", at positions 29 to 521 of the family's 1533-position model. The record is from RNAcentral.